Molecule: long non-coding RNA, 709 nt
Organism: Microtus ochrogaster (prairie vole)
Lineage: Eukaryota; Metazoa; Chordata; Mammalia; Rodentia; Cricetidae
Exons: 7
Source: RefSeq, a predicted model, not a curated record
UUCUGCCUUUUGUAGAGUCUGGAUCUCCUGUCCAGUGUUCUGUUCUAAUGCCAUCAUUGAAGAUUCACAGAAGUACAUGCCUGUUUCUUGGCCACACUAGCACAAAGAGGUGAAGAAAGCAUGGAAGCCCACAUUACUGGAUCAAGAAGCCAGCCACACAGUCACAGGUGGGAUGAUGGAUAAUAAAGGACAUUUGCUGGAUGUGGGCCACUCCAUUCACUAAACUGUUAAGGAAGUUCAUGAACUUAUUAUUUUGAAAAGACUUCUUCAAUUUCCCUCAUGUAUAUAAAUAAUAACUGAUCUCAUCAUCCUGUUCAAGAUGAUCUCAGACAUAGGCACAGAUUACAUCCUUCUCUGCCUUCUCCUGAGAAGUUUUUGGUGAAGACACAGACCACACACCUUCAUGAUGAGUUGUAAUCAUCAUUUCACAUCUAACAUGUAUCAAUCACCCCACCUGUAUUCACCUGUCACUUCAGUGAGGUACAUAUUGUUUCUACUGUGUAUCGAAUACAUUCAUUUACUCUUCCAUCUCUGGACAUUCCAGUAUAUGAGGUAAAGCAAGAUCCAGUUAUAUGCACAAAAGAAAGGAGCAUUCCAUUUUUCUUGAUCACAAAACGAGCAACGUUGAAAGGGCAGAAAACAGAGUGUCUCAGAGGUGUGUCUAUCCAAGAGGCCACAACAAAACUUAGGACAUGACAACUGUCCAUAA